Salmo salar (Atlantic salmon) is the source of this 555-nucleotide non-coding RNA. The record is from RefSeq and is a predicted model, not a curated record. NCBI's taxonomy places the organism in Eukaryota, Metazoa, Chordata, Actinopteri, Salmoniformes, Salmonidae.
ACGAUCAGUUUCUAUCUGGUUUCUAUUGGCCGUUCAUCCAUUGACGACAGAAUAGCAGAUUUUAAUUUGAUUGUGUUACUAGUUUUUGCUUAGUCGCCAGAUCAAUGCUGCUGCUGGAGUGGUCAUGUGAUUAAAACAUGGACAACACGGAUAUUGUUGAAGAAAAAUUGAACUUUGGAAAUAAAGCUGCACCUCUUGAAUGUUGAGAGUUAUUUGAUAAAGGGGUCAGUUCUCUAAAAUGAGUCUCUCUGGGGAGAGAGAGGAGGGGGGCCCUGCCUCUAAAAUGAGUCUCUCUGGCGAGAGGAAGGAGGGGGGCCCUGCCUCUAAAAUGAGUCUCUCUGGGGAGAGAGAGGAGGGGGGCCCUGCCUCUAAAAUGAGUCUCUCUGGCGAGAGAGAGAAGGGGGGCCCUGCCUCCAAAAUGCAUCUCUCUGGCGGACAUAACACCAAAGCUAAGAGACCAAUCAAGCAGGAGAGACCAGCCUCCCCUGUACCCAGCUGUGUGUCCAUGAAGAGUGACCAGUCUAUGGAUCGUCCUAUAAAGUUUAGAGAGGGAGA